Molecule: non-coding RNA, 557 nt
Organism: Cyanistes caeruleus (blue tit)
Lineage: Eukaryota; Metazoa; Chordata; Aves; Passeriformes; Paridae
Source: RefSeq, a predicted model, not a curated record
CUGCUGCUCUAGUUUACUGUGAAAUGCAGUCUUAUGGCAGGGAAGUAGAAAGCAUGGUCUUUGGGGUUCAUAUGGGACUUUCACUGCACAAUCCCAAAUGUGAAAGGAACAUGCUGUGCAUGACUAGUUUCCUCUAGUCUGUACAGCCAAGCUUGUGUUAGAUGGAUGAAAUCUGUGGCAAAAAUGCACAGAAGAGACUGUUUUCCCCAAAAUGCGCUGUAUAUGGCUCUUCAAGGAGCAGCUGACACAGCCCUAGAGCAGAGAUUUCCAAGGACACAUUCCCAUCUCUGCCAGUUCCUACUGCAGCAGCAGCAGUACCUUGGCUGAACAAAGAGGCUUCCACUUUCCUGCUGCACACAGCCACUUCUGCCAGAGGCUGGCGAGAUGAACACAAACAGCUCCAGUCAGGCUGGAUCAAGGCUUCUCUGCAGCUGCAGCACAGCUUGAAUACUCACUGCAGCCAAAACGAGGGGAUGGGAAGGGAAAAGGACAGUCACACUGCCCUCAACUCAGGGCCAGGAAAACUGAUUUGGAGCCAAUAAAGCAAUUCAGGAUGA